AAUCCUAGCGACAGCUAAGUGCGAGUAGGUGACGAGCCGCGGUGUGUCGUGUCGGGGGCACGGGGAAGACGCUGCGCGGAGGGAAGCGGGGCGGCUGCCAGAGGGCGGGACGGGCCCGCGCCCCUCGGGUCCCCAGAGCCCACCGGGCCGGCUCCUGCCGUCCUCCCGCCACCGCCGAGCCGGGAGGCGCGGGUCGAGGGGAUCCCAAGCACAGCUAAAGACGAUUUUAGGCACAACAGCGCCCGGGGAUCGAGCACCGCUUAUUGGUCGCAACAAGUGAGGGCGCCCCCAGGCCCCUUGCCCGUGUGCUGCAACGAAUUUUCCACCCCCCAGUCUCGCCCAGCGCGGCAGCGGGGAGCAAAACCCAUCGGUGCUACCGGGCGGCGGAGCCCCUAGUAACUCAAGAUGGGGCGCCCACCCGGCCACAUUUAAAGGACCCGCGGCUGGGGCGGGCUCCGGAGCCCGGGGGUGGCCCGCUCCGGCGCCAGGCACUGCGCACCCGGGUGUGCGCCCCUUCCGGGAGGGUCUUGGGGGAAAGCGCGCUGCUCUGCGGGAGCUUCCGCUGGCAAAUCCGGGGGCUGGGGGCACACCCUCAAGUGAGGCUAGGAUGUUAAAAAAAAAAAAAAAGUGGAAACGAAGUCUCUAGUGCAAGUAGCCGCUAUGAACUCUGGAGGAGCCUGGAGACAACGCUGCCUGAAUGGUAGUGAGGAGGUGUUAGGUGCGCUGUUAACAGGGGUUGAGUGGAUUGGCAGGAACCCAGGGCCCUCCGCCCUGCCCCGAGGCUCCUUGUCGCUCCGUUAGAUCCGGCGAACAGUCCCAACUUUUGGGCCAGUCGCGGGCCGCUUUGGGGAGCAAGGGGAGGACAAGAGAGUGGAUUUUACCUCCCCCGGCCGGGGUUCGCCUUCGCCCCCGCAGGACUUGUGAACAGUGUCCUUCCAGGAGGCUUGAGAUAAAAAGAGAUCCCCCCCCCCUCAGGUGGCAAACUUUAGUGACUUUGCUAUUAAUUCAGUGCCCUGGGAAGUAGCGCCCGGACCGGUAGUGAACUCAGCAGCAGAGCGGCUCCCUCAGCCGAGGUCCUCGCUAAGAGCCAGGCACGGUUUAGUAUUCUCGCUACUUGAGAUUUGUGGCCUUGCCAGGGUUCAGGCUCCAGGAAGAGGGUUCGAAAUCCUGCGCUCCACCCCUUUCGGUUGCUGGCUCGGGUCACUAUUCUCAGCCACCAACGGGAGAAGCAACCUCUGAAACUUAAAGGCUGCACCACCUUGCUUUGAGUGGCCCGAUCCAUUUCUCCCCCAUUCUACUUUCUACUUUCCACCUCAGGGCUGAACUCAGCACUCCAGCCCAGAUGUUGAAGUUUCAGAGGGAAAAAAAAUUACAACAGGGCUCACAAUAUCACUGUUUUCCUUCGCCUGAGCCAGCUUGUUGUUGUUGUUGUUGUUGUUGUUGUUGUUGUAGGUGCUCACUUUGGUGAAAGAGAGAUCGGUCUCAAGCAGUCCACUUGCCCGUGUGCCCAGCGCCUAGUACAGCCACUUUCUUGUCCGCCACAGGUGGACACUCAGGAAAAUGUUUGUCAGUGACCCAUGAUGCUAACUUUCCAGGAAUAACACUGGACAGCGUUACAAUAAAAAUAUGUGGCUUCCGGUUCCCCAGGGAGCUCUUGGUUUUUAUUGCUAAAAGUUGUGGUUACACACUACUGGCUAUUUAAGGAACUCUGCUCAAGAGCGGGUGUUAUUUCUCUAGGAAAUAAGUCUGAAGCAGCAGUUUAAAUUAUGUGUAUGUGUGUGGUAAGUAUUUACUCAAGAUAUAGACAGAUAAAAGACAUCAGCAAAUAGCAGAUUUCUGUUGCUAGAGAUCAAUUAAAGAAUGGCUGCCUAAAUAUCCUAAGUGAAUAUAAUUAUGAAGUGGCUGUGUAGACCUCGUUUGCAGAUGAUUCAUUUCUUCCAGCGAUCAGAACUGCUUCCAUUUGUGGUAAUAACAUUAGGUAGAAGACUGGGGGCUGAUUGAACUACCUUACCCAUUUCAUUUAGGCAAGACUGUUUAGCUUAAUAUCUGAAACCUACAGCAGCAUGAAACAGCACAUUUUCUUCAUUUUAUUGCAUAGGUUCUUUAUUAGGGCUCUAAAAAAAAAAAGAAAAACUUUAAUCCCACUUUCCACAAAAUCAGUUACUAGAUAAACUCUUGAAGAAGAGUGGGAAAAAAAUAACAAUACUAUGUUCAGCAAGGUUAAUUGAACAAGAAUGUGGAUCUGAAGUCAAAUAGCUAUUUGGCCAACUGGCCAAGGUAUCAAGGGUCUAGACAAAAGCUCUUUAUCUCUAGAGCUACUCAAUAAAUAUUAGUGGCAUUAAAUCAAUCAGUUCAUUCAUUCAACAAACAUACAGAGCAAGUAUUUUGUUCUAGGUAGGCUGUUAAGCCAGGGAGAAUUGAAAGAGGAGCACUCAGUUAGUCCUUAGGGAUUCACAGGUAGCUGGGAGGCAACACAAUGCAGCUAAUGCAGCAGGGAAGCCUUCCAGAAGGAAAAGAGGGAGCGCCCCGAGGGUAAUUGAAUCAGUUUGAUUGAAGAAGCAGAGAAAGAAAAAACAUUUUUUCAAAAUUUGACUUAUGUCGUUAUUUUUUAUUUUGAAAGUAACAUGCUCAUUGUAAUAUGUAAGAGGAAAACAAAUUUUAUAACUAAUGAGUAGAGUUUAAGGCCCUGGGUUUGAUUCUCAGCACCAAAACUCAAAUAAUAAAUAUAUAUAUAUAUAUCCCCCUUUUUAAAAAUAGCAAAAUUGGGAUAUCAUCCAUGUGUCUAGAAUUUGCUAUUUUAAAAAUCAUAUCAUGGUAAUCAGCUUUCAAGAUAGUCUCUAACGAUCUAUUGCCUCCUCAUAUUUACAGCCUUGUCAACUUCUCCCACAUUGAACUAGCAUGGUCUUCGUGACCAACAGAAGAUGGCGGAAGUAGGCGCAGCUCACUGCUGAGACAGGCAUUGAAGAUUUACCAAUCGUGAUGUAAUGCAUGUCCUUCAAUAUCUGUUCAGACACAUACUUCAGGGCUCGAACUCCAGUCUUUGCGCUUGCGCAGAAGACGGCGAAACCACUGAGCUAAAUCCCCGGCCCUAACUUUGCUAUUUUAAUGUCGCUGGCCUUUCUCUUUAGCCAUUUCACACACUGUAAUUUUUAAAUGGUGGGUAAGAAUUUGCAAAGACAAUACAGGCCACUUGAGACACACAGAUGAGCUUGGACAAAGAGAAGAAAACUUGUGUGAUUUCCAUGGGGAACUUGUGAGCAUGCGCUUGUUGACCUUGAAGAAGAGUGCGCAGAGAGAGGCAGGACUAGCCCAGAAGACCUCAGAGCCGGUUUAGUGAGCCAGAACUUCUUCCUGUAGGCGAUCUCACAAGCAAAGAGAGGUUUUUACACUGAAAUUGGGAUAAUCAGAUUGCAAUUUAGAUCAGUCUCCGGCAGCUGUGUCUAGCAGGAUGGCUCUCAGGGCACAGGACUGGAAACAGACACGCCAUUUAAGAAGCUGCAAUUGUCCAGAGAAAAGCUAAUGAUGGCGUGAACUGUGGCAGCGGGUAGGUUGAGGGGAAGAGACAAAAAUGGAGAAAUAUUGAGAGUAAAAAAGAUAGGAGUUUCAAUGUGCUUGGAGCAAAGGGGUGGGAAACGGGGAAAGAAGAGAUUGGUGCGUUGGUCUUCAGCUUGGCCUCAACGUGUAUUUAGCUUGGCUUUAGAUUAUUAACAAGUGAAAAGACGUGUAGGAGGAGGAACUGAUUUAAUAGGCAAGGUACAUUUGGGUGGAACAAAACAAGUGCAAAACCUUGUGGGAGAUCUAGGUGGGGACAGCAGGAGGUAUUCAGUAGUGUGUGUGUGUGUGUGUGUGUAUGUGUGUGUGUGUGUAAAACCUUGUUAAGUUGAUCAGCACAUCCAAGGAGAGGCCUGUUAAGUAAGAAAUUAAUAAGAGCUCAUUUUUGGAAGAGCUCAGUUAACAAGCACCAAAGGCAGAAAGGAUAGCUGGCUCUCGGCCUGGAUCUCCCAGGGACCAAUGGACUUAAUAGGGUCACUCAGACUUGGGCUCAGAUUUUUAGGUCUUCAGACUUGGAAACUGGAUUUUUUGUCAGUUCUCUCAGGAAUGAUCAGGAUCUGGUCACCAGAGAGAUCUAUAUCUUGACUGUUUCUCAGGGAGCCAGUUUCUGUUAUUCCUAAGCAAGCCACAGUGGCAGCACCAAGAGCUUAGAUUCAGUCACUGCAGACUUCAAAUCCAGACUCAUUACUUCCUGGCUCUUUUGCCUUCUUUGUUUAGACAACCAGGAGGGCUCCUUUGCAGGGAGGUUUUAAAGACUGAAAGGUAACACAUGCAAAGCAUCUCAGAGAAUGCCCAGACCUCAGAUGGGUGGCUGGGAGCUCCCUUCCACUCAAGUGCUGCCGCAUCACUGCAGGUCCAUGCAGCUCUGGGCCAGAGAGGAGAUCAAGGCUGACCUUCUCACCUGGAAGGAAAGACUGGCUGUCCAGAAGUGGCCCAGCUCAUGAGCUACCAAGAAUUCAAAAAUCAUGCACAUUCUCUUUCAGGAGAGAAUCCACCUCUGUUCCUCGCUUUUCAAUACUAGCUCCAGGGAACGAGCUGGGGAAAUACCCUUCAGGGAUUGUUUCUAGUGGACUGAAGUUGCCUACAAGGAUUUCAUCUAUCACUGGAGAGCUAGGUAAUUCCCUACCCUUUGAGCUAAAUGUUGAAAAAAUGUACUACUAGACCAUGAACUAAGACUUUUUAAUCAGUGGAUAAUUUUAAAUUGCUGUGAUGGUAGAAAAGUGGGGAGAGAGAAAUAUAGCAUCUUGAGUAUAGUAUAUGUUAUGGCUUAUGUCUGGCUGUCCCCCCAAAGUCUCGCAGAGUCAUGGCAGGGGCUUUCAGAGGUGGCUGCAUCUAGAGUGUGUAUCAGUCCACUCAUUGGUUUGGCAUAGUUCUGGCUAGGAUUAAGGGAGUAUGUUCUACACCUGCCCUAGGGUGGGUAGCCUGCAUAAAAUAUAAGGGACAGAAAGAGGCCUAAUGUGCUCUCACCUGCCUGCUUGCUGUGGACUGUUUCUCUUCUGUGAUGCCCCUCUGCCAUGCUGCCUUAUCUUAGAGCCAGCUGAUUAUGGACUGAAACCUCUACAAACUGUGCGCCAAAUAAACCUUUCCUCCUUUAACUCUAGGUGUCAAGUAUUUUGUCUCAGCAACUAGAAAAGUAACUAAGACAGAAUUUGAUACCAGAGAAGUGGGGUUGUUGCUGUGACUAUACCUGAUGAUGUGGUUCAGGGGACUUUAGAGCUGGCUUGUGGGAAGAGUUUGGAAAGGCUAAGAGAUGCGAGCUGAAAAAGUAGCCCUGAAAAGCUUUAGGCUGUACUUGAUAGGAGAUUAUAGUCAGAGCUCAGAAGACAAAAAUGCUGAUAGAAAUGAUGCCAGUAAGAACCAAGCUCAGGUUUCUGCUGGGAAGGGCUACGUUGGCUGUUGGACUCCAGAACAUGUGUGUUAAGCAGUGGUAGAAAGUUUACCUGUAUUUUGCUCAUGUCCAGAGCCUUUGACUGAGACUGAGAUUAAGGGUGGCAGUUUAAUCUUGUAGAAGAAAUUUUAAGACAGUCUAAUUUUAAGGCAGAGGCAUAGCUACUCUCGGAUGCUUUUAGCCAGAUUUAUGUUGAGAAUCAAGAGCAAAGAGCUCAGCACAAUGAUUCAAGACUGUCAAUUUGUUCAGAAAGGAAGCUCCAGUAAAGCUGAGGCCUGAUGAAGCAGAGGAGAAAUUUGUCAUUGAAAAGAUUAGGAAGAAAAAGCCAAGUAUUUCAGAAGAACACAACAAAAAAGAUAGGCCAGGGAUAACACAAGAAACAGCAGGACUCCACCCUUUGUAGCUUCAGAGUUUCAAAGGUGAAAGACUUUGCUUUGAGAAAAGAGCUCCAGAGCACCAUGUUUCAGAAUGGCAACAGCCUAGAGAAUUUGUUCCUUGGGAUUGAGUUCAGAGUGUUCAGCGAUCCAGGUACUCGACCCAUACAGCCAAGAGAGAAGGAAGCCUGGCUACUGCUCCAGCUGGUAGCAGAUCUUGCAUCAUCCACAUGGUGCUGGUUUUAGGUGCAUGCAGAAUGCAAGAGUUGUGAGGUCAGGAAGGCUUCCACCCAGAUUUCAGAAGAUGCCCCUAAGAUUUCAGGCAGGGUGCCCCUAAGAGGGCAGUGUGUGAAGCUAUGAAUGUGGAGCCAAACGUGCAGUGGAGCCAAACAUACAGUGGAAGUUUGGAGAAGCCAGGAAUGUGGAUUAUCUGAGGAAAACUGCAAGGAGGGAGCAGAGCCAGCCUAAGAGAGAAGCUGUGGGAACUACAACCGCUGGGUGGGGAUGGAGCCACUGAAGCCCUUUGGAGUUCACAUCUUGCAACAGAUUGCCUUGGAUGCUGGACAUGGAACUACAGGACUUAAUGUUUGCCCUGCUGGAUUUUGGUCUUGCUUUGGUCCCUUCCUUGUUAUCCCCCUAUUUGUACCUUUUGGAAUGGAAAUGUUUAUCUUGUGCCAUUCAACGUUGGAAGUGUUUAACCUUUUCGUUUGUACAGGGGCUUGCAGUUAAGAGUUUGCCUUAAACCUCAGAGGAGACUUUGGACCUGGACUUUUCAACAGUGCUGAAACUGUUAGGACUUUGGCAACUCUCGGAGAUGGACUAAAUGCCUUUUGCAUAAAGGGACGUGCAUGAGUCUGGGGGCCAAGGGCAGAAUGUUAUGGCUGUGCCUAGAUGUCCUACCAAAGCCUCAUGGAGUCAUGGGGGUGGGGGGCUUUUCAGAGGGGGCUGGAUCUAGAAUGUGUGGUGCUGGGAUCAAGAUUGACUACUAAAUCAGUCCACUGAUUGGUCUGGCGUAGUUCUGGCUAGAAUUGAGGGUGUGAGUGCUACACUUGCCUUGGGGUGAAUAGCCUGCAUAAAAUACGAGGGACAGAAAGAGCCUAAAGUGCUGUUACCUGCCUGGCUGCCAUGGACCAUUUCUCCUCUGCCAUGCCACCCUGCCAUGGAGCCAGCUAACUGUGGACUGAAACCUCUACAAACUGUGAGCCAAAUAAACCUUUCCUCCUUUAACUCUGGGUGUCGGGUAUUUUGUUUCACUCAUGAGAAAGGUAACUAAGACAGUAUCUAAAAAGAUUUGAAUAAAUGUCAGAAAAUGUAAGCUGGUUAUGUGGGGGUAGGGAGAAAGAAAAGUGCAGCUCUUGCCACCACAAAGGGGCUCAUUCCAAACCAAGUGUGGAAAGCCCUCUAAAGGCUCUCAGAGAAGGGACACAGGAUUUUUCACAGGCCAUGCACAAUGACUUCACCAACUAUGGAACAGGCACUGGAGUAGUUGGGCUGGAACCAGUCCUUGCACCUGCUUAGUGUCUCCCCUAGAAACAAUCCCUUGUAAAAGGCAACCUGUCCAUCAUUAUUUGCCUGAUCCUGCAGAUAUAAGUUUUUAUAGCAUGAGACACAGUGCCAUCAUGUUGAUUUUCCCGACUCGUGCAUGUGUAUGUUUUCAAGUGUUGGAUCUUUCAGAAUGUAGUGUCAUCUACUGUAGAGGAGAGAAGCAGAGAAGUAAGACUUAGGCCUCUCAUGCAAAGUACCUAUAAAUUAUGGUUCUGAAUUCCUAUUAAACACUCUUCAAUCCGUUUUCUUAUUUAUUUAGGACUUAUAAUAACUAACAAAUGUCAAAGCCACUGAAUCAGCAAAUGCUCAUAAAUCAAUACUUGAUAAUACAUGAAAGAUCUACAACCAAGAUAUACAGAAUUAUAAAUUGAUUCAAAUUAAUGCAAAUAAUGGCAUUUCUCUAUUAAUUAAUUAAAUUCCAACUAGUUAUACAAAUUUAAAUAUGCUUAACAAGCAGAAAGGUUUUUAAACAUGCACUUUACUACACUGAGAAAGAGGCCCCAGAUUCUCUCAGGCUGGCACUAUAGAGACUUCCCGGUAAGGAAAAAGGAUUAUACCACAUGAUCCCUGGGGGCAGCCUCUCAUUAAUUACCAUCAGCACCCACAGGCCUCUCGCAGCACCGCUGGCCCUUUAAUUCUAGGCCCGAGUGUCAGUGCAGGGCCCUCUUAAGGUCCCAUAGUACCCAUCAGUGGUCAGCCUCAAAGACAUUUUUAAAAGACUGCUAAAAAUAAGAGCUGACUGACAAACAUUAAAAAGACUUUACUAAGAUAAAAAGUAUUAGCAAAAAGACAAGACAAAAGGCAUGAGAAUAAAUAAUAUGCCUCACAGGAUGAGUCCACUCAGCCUUCCGGUGGUCAAAGGAAUCUUCCCUAGCUCCCAUCCUGCUUCCUCCCAUUCCCAGGAAUGCAUUCUUGGACAGGCAGAAGCCUUUGAGGACAAACUGAGUAGAGGAUGAGAAAGGCAAUGAAAUAUCUCCUUUUCCAUCCACUUAAUAAUCUUUGACCUCAGUUUCAGUCCCCUGCAUAAGGACUCACCUCUUUGGCCAUUAAUUUGCUGUGAGAAACAAUUGGGAAAAGACCGAGACCAGCAAAAGAUUAUUUGGUGUCCUUUCAGUGGAAUAAUGGUAGUUCUUACCAUUAUUAGCAGUUCUGGGUUGCCUGAUUCUAUGGCCUGUGUUUAUCAAUGUCUUUGACUAGAUCAUAUUUAUGAUUCUGUGAAUUAUAGAAAACUGUUCACGAUACAAAUUAUUCUAAUUCGUAGAAACUGCAAUGAAUGUUGUUCUGUGGAAAUGCAACUGAUCACUGAGAGAUGACUCCAAAUCUCAAAUUUUACUGUCCUGUGGAUAUGCACCAGUUUUGCUCCUACUACUGAAUUUAUUUCAGCACUCGGUGGACACCUAUAUGUAUCUGAACUUUGGUUUCUUUGAGCUAGUUGUAAUAUCUUACACAUGUUACAUAAAUAAGUUCAAUAAAACCUUUGAUACAUGUUCAUAUACUGCUACGAAAAUCACGAUCACCAUUUUGAAAAUGAUCCUUUAAUGGCCACACACAGGGAUACAGCUUUAUUUGCCUCCACAGGGUAACUAUUAUUUCUAUGGAACAUGACAAUUCUUGUUCCUUAUAGGAUGUAACACCAUAAGUUAACAGUAAAGUCAUUUCAUUUAAGGAACAUUAUGAAGUGGAGAGAAGGGGUAGUUAUGCUAAAAAAGAGGCUGAGAAUAAUGUCUAAAAUUGGGCAUGAAAUUAAAG
This is a non-coding RNA of Heterocephalus glaber (naked mole-rat), 9108 nucleotides long. The record is from RefSeq and is a predicted model, not a curated record. NCBI's taxonomy places the organism in Eukaryota, Metazoa, Chordata, Mammalia, Rodentia, Bathyergidae.